RNAcentral lists this ribosomal RNA (515 nucleotides) under uncultured Candidatus Saccharibacteria bacterium. RNAcentral describes it as "bacterial SSU rRNA". It matches the Rfam family "Bacterial small subunit ribosomal RNA", at positions 57 to 548 of the family's 1533-position model. Lineage: Bacteria; Candidatus Saccharimonadota. The record is from RNAcentral.
GCAAGUCGAGCGGUAGCAUGGCUUCACCGUUCUCUUGACACACUUGGCUUUAUGCGAGUGGUAAGAUUCGAGGGAACUGUGAAGCUGAUGACUAGCGGCGGACGGCUGAGUAACGCGUGAGAACAUACUCCAAAGUGAGGGAUAACUAGUCGAAAGAUUAGCUUAUACCGCAAUGUGAUCUUGGAAUUAAAGCAUUUAUGCGCUUUGGGAAUGGCUUGCGUACGAUUAGAUAUUUGCUGAGGUAAAGGCUCACCAAGUCGACGAUCGUUAGAUGGUUUGAGAGGAUGAUCAUCCAGACUGGGACUGAGACACGGCCCAGACUCCUACGGGAGGCAGCAGUAGGGAAUCUUUCACCAUGGGCGAAAGCCUGAUGGAGCAAUGCCGCGUGCAGGACGAAGGCCUUCGGGUUGUAUACUGCUUUUAUAAGCGAGAAAUAUGAUGGUAACUUAUGAAUAAGGAUCGGCUAACUACGUGCCAGCAGCCGCGGUCAUACGUAGGAUCCGAGCAUUAUCCGG